Molecule: long non-coding RNA, 1214 nt
Filed under: Zonotrichia albicollis (white-throated sparrow)
Lineage: Eukaryota; Metazoa; Chordata; Aves; Passeriformes; Passerellidae
Description: lncRNA (ENSZALG00000016142.1)
Source: RNAcentral
GAAAAUGAAAUUUCCUAUGCCCCGAGAUUUCAGGAUUUUACACGUCUCUGUGAAUCGUUUAGGAUUAAAUAGGGAGUUCAGAGACUAUUUUUAAAAUGUGCAUGGCCUUCUGAAGGAGCUGAAGUUUUGUUCAGCAGCUCUCUUCAAGGGGACUCAAGAUCGUCCCGAGUUUCUUUACUGAACACGGUGAGUUCCUCAGAGACAGCAUUGCAGUAUCACCAGAAGACUACCAUUCUUAAGAGCUGUAUUCCCUCUUAGAAAGGCUGCUUUGGCAGACUGAGGCACAUGACUGAGACUUUUUGCCCUGAUUGCAAAGAUGUUGUGCUGCCAGUGCUGCUGGAGAGCAAACAAGUAACACCCACCCCUUUAAACUUUGAUGUCUCUAAGAAAGGAGGUAGACUGCACUGAAAAACAGAGGACACACAGGCAGCAAGAUGAACAAUGCACACGUGUACAAUGUACAUAUGUGCAUGUACUGAACAGAUAUUUGGCCCCAUGUUGACUGUUUUUCUAAGUGCAAGAACUUUUACAAAGAAAAAAAGAAGACCCUGAAGAAUGUAAUGCUACUUUAUGGAGGACAAAUCUUCCAUUUCUAGCCUGACAUGAAACUCUUCAAGGUGAACAAAGAGGGAGACAUGUCUAGAAACGCACAAAGAAGCCGAGCUAAUUAAGAGAACUCCCACUGCCUCCCUUCAUGAAAGCUGCUAUGCUUUUGAAACCCUGGAGAUGGUUUGACUGUGGAUUUGUGAGGUUAGGAGUACAGCUGGGAUGCUGAGACUGUGGGCUGGGUGGUAUGUAUAGAAUGUGUUUGAUCAGUUUCCCUGGUUGUAUUAGAAAGAGAUGGCAUAAAACAAAUGGGGUGGAAAUAGGCAGAAAGGAUGAGGAGCUCCCUCUGGGAUAGGUCUGAACUGAUUUAGAUUGUGGGAAUUCUCUGUGUGUGUGUGUGUACUCAAUGUAUUUUUCCUGGAGAUUUCAGUGAUAAUAUUUUUUCUUCUAAUCUUUAUCAAUGUUACAGAAAAUGUAUUUGAGCCUUCAGCAACAUGAGGUUCAAACCUUGCAGUUCAUUCCUUCAGAUGUUUGCAUGGCAUGCUACAGCCCUGCUUUCUGUAUGCUGACAUGCAAAUAGCUUGUCAGUCUCGUCUUGCACCAUUACUAUGAUUCCUUCCUUGGUUCCUGUCUCUUCCAGGUAUUCAACACUGUAAAAAUACUUGUCU